Molecule: long non-coding RNA, 3310 nt
Filed under: Daphnia magna
Lineage: Eukaryota; Metazoa; Arthropoda; Branchiopoda; Diplostraca; Daphniidae
Description: uncharacterized LOC116933197, transcript variant X2
Source: RNAcentral
ACACUUAUCUAAAAACGUUUACAAUUUUUUGAAGUAUGUUAAAUGUGAUUAGUAUAGUUAUUUUAGUUUAAGUAUGGUAAAAACGAAUAAAAGUAUGUAAUUUUUGUAUUUCAGUGCGCUAAAAUCACUACUUAAAUUUUAAAGUACUGUUCAGUGUACAGAAAACACUUAAAUGUCCAAAAAUAAGUACUCUUCAACCGCUGUGUUUUAUCUCGUUGUUUUUUUCUUAGACUGGGUUAGUUGUCUACAUAUUGUCCUUGUUGGUACAGACAACCAGCAUAUUGUACACAUUAUGUUGUUUGAUCUUAUUAAGACAAGAGUUAUGUGUGCAUUGAUUAAAUUUCUUGGUCUUGCUUUGAUUUUCCUGUUAGUGGAUUUAGGUCGGAAUACAAAUCAUCUAGUUUGGUGCAGUUCAACUUCUAUGACGAUGCAAAAGUGCCAUUUUGACCGGGAUGACUAUUUCAACCGUAAUUAUUUACAGCUAAAUGACUAUGGCCGAAGCCCAAAAUUGGUUAAGGAAUAUUCCCAGAUAGACUUGGUCCAUUGUUUUGAUUUUCUAUCAGAAAAAAGAAAUCGACGACCAAUGCAUAUUGCCUUUAUCGGCGAUUUAACAGUUCGCCAAUUUUAUUUUUACUUUCCUUGGGUUGAUUCCAGACUACGAUAGGGCAAAAAGUAUCAAGAAGACGGCCUUCGCACAAUUUGUUUUUCAUGAUGACGGGAAUGUAACGAGUCGUAUUGUAGACAACCUUCUUGUCUCCUUUUACUGGCGAAAUUUAAUAAGAAAUGAUCUGAUAGCCGACUUUAAAAGAUGGGCUUCUACGGAAAAUAUCAACCAAGUACCCGACUUCAUCUUCUUCGAAAAGGUUGCCGAUCAUGUUGCUGUAGUUAGAAUCAGAGUUGAAAGAAGCUCACCGAUUUUGGAGCGCGCUCAGAGCUAUCCGCUCACACCCGUAAAACGAGUGCGGAAGGCGAGCGCGCUCGCGUUUUUUGGUGAGCGGCGAGCUAGAGCCGCUCUAUUUUAAAAAUCACGAGCUAGAGCGGGAGCGGAUGAGUCACGAGCGGAAGCUCGUGACCGUGGCACCAUCUAUCAGCCAAUAUUUUCACCAAGUGUAAUUCGUCAAUUCCAAAGCAGAAAACAGGAGGCUGACCUCUAAAUCUAAGGCAAUGGAAAUGGCAAGUGCAAAUAUAAGUCAAGGCAUGGCUGACCAAAUCACGCUAUCAGCCUCUGAUGGCUCUGAAUCUGAAUCAGAAUCAAAUCAUGCAAAUUCCUCUUGAAAAUGGAAACACCGGGGGAAAAAACCAACAAGCUGAAAUGAAUCUAGAAUUAAAUUGCCAUCCAACUAUUUCUAAUUCAUGUACGACAAAAAAGAUGGCAAAGGCUUUUUAGUUAAAUGCCUCAUAGGUCACAAGACAAAGCCAAAGUUUAAUAAAAAAGGCGAGAUUGAACUUCUGACUAUUACCAACAAUUCUGGCUACAAUUCCAAGAGGCACAUAGGAACAAUACACCCUACACACCUAACAGAAUUUAACUCUGCUUGGCAAAUAAGAAACCAAGAACCAAGCGUAGAGAGACAGUCAUCUAAUCCUGUUCAGGCUAGACUCUCUACCACGAGAAAAGUAAAAAAGACUAAUAAGUCUUCUAUAUAAAGAAUCAUUUGGAUAGUUCUUGGAAGUAUAAGCAGAUUAGAACACAGGAAGAUUUGAACAAAGCUAUCCUGAUGAGUAUUUCUUUACAUUAGUCAUAGUCUUUUCUCAUCUCAUCUCAUCCCCAACUAAAUAAAAUUAUUCUUAGUUAGUCUUUACUCUUUCAAUUUAACUUUUAAAGUUAACAAGAUUUUCAAGUUAAAGUAAAUAAAAAUUCAAUUUUUUAAAAAAGCUUUAACUGAAAUUCAAAAAUGUGAAGUACUACAUGUAUUCAAUUAUAAUACACCUGUUAAAAUGGAAUAUGAAUAUGAUAAACGGAAAUUUUCAGUGAACGUCCAGCGACAAAAUUUUGAAGGCUGAAAAAGAGCUUUUGCGAGUGGCUCGCGCUCUUUUUUUCAAAUGGUGAGCGGAGAGCGCGAGCUGCUCGUUUUACGGGUGUGAGCGGAUAGCUCUGAGCGCGCUCCAAAAUCGGUAAGCUUCUUUCAACUCUGUCUUUAAGUUCUAUUGAUAAUGGUUUGUUCUAAAAAGAAAAGAAAAAAAUUUGCUGUUUUAAAAACAACAAAGAAUAAAAUACUCUGUCAGAAUACUCAAAUAUAAUCACAUUUGCAGAAAGACUAGAAUCUUACUUUUACCGUCAACAAAAAGAACGGUCAAGAAAUUUUGACAGGUAUAAGAAAUCUGUCUACUUCCAAAUGGGAUGAGUCAAAGAAGAUUUUGUACCAGGCCAAUAUCUACUUGAUGUGGGGGAAAAGCGUUUUGGCGACCUUUCUACUAGAUUUCGGCUAAAUUGUAGUUGUUUUUUAGUCCAACUAAAUGAUCUCCAACUUAAACCAUUUUGCCGUUAAUCGUCUUCGUUCUCAGCUCAACUCUUCUCAGCAUGAUUUUACGUUUGCGUUAACACUGAUAAAUUGUGGUUGCGGUUUUCGUACGCAAAUAUUUUCUAAUACCGGUGGAAGAGGGACGUACGUUUUUUACCGACGAAAAUCCGUUUUACAUUUUAGAAUACGAAAAUCGUUGGGGUUUUUUUCAGACGAUAAUAGUACUACUUUUAUUUGAAUGAAAUUUCAUAAAAAUUUUAGUUUUUUGAGGAAAUAGCUACCUAUAGAUAAUCUCAAACCCGAGUCUCAAACCCAAGUCUCCCGCAUCGCAAUCAGAAAUCAGUCCACGAUGCCAACCAUUGUUAAACAUAUGUGUCCAACGCCAUCUGUGUGCAUAAUGGGCAACCAUGUACAGCCCUUGUACGUGGCUCUAUUGCUUUUUUGUUCUGCUACCGUACACAUGUUUUCUCUCUCUCUCUGCAUCUCUCUAUCAAAGUAGUGAUCUCCAACUAUUCAUUCAGGUACUUAAUAAAAGAUCAUAAGUGUGUUUCUCAAUUGUGUUAUAGCUAAUUCAAACAGGUUAUGGGCCCAGGUUAACCGAUAUUUUUUUCUUAGUAAGUUAAAAAAAAAAAAAAAACACCAAACUCAACCACGUUGAACAACUCAGUGGCACAAUUGUUCUUCUGCCUCCCAUUGUAGAAUCGAAAUAGUAGAGACUUAAGGGACGUUACUACUAUGACUGAAUCAAAAAUUCCCAAACUUAGCCAUAUCGAGCAGUUCAAUGGCACAAACUUUCAAUUGUGGAAGUACAAUUGCUGGCUCGUUCUUGACCAAAGUGAUUUACUUGA